GAUGAAGAACGCAGCGAAAUGCGAUACGUAGUGUGAAUUGCAGAAUUCAGUGAAUCAUCGAAUCUUUGAACGCACAUUGCGCCCGCCAGUAUUCUGGCGGGCAUGCCUGUUCGAGCGUCAUUUCAACCAUCAAGCCCCCCGGCUUGUGUUGGGGACCUGCGGCUGCCGCAGGCCCUGAAAAGCAGUGGCGGGCUCGCUGUCACACCGAGCGUAGUAGAUCUCAUCUCGCUCAGGGCGUUCUGCGGGUUCCGGCCGUUAAACCACCUUCAUAACCCAAGGUUGACCUCGGAUCAGGUAGGAAGACCCGCUGAACUUAAGCAUAUCAAUAAGCGGAGGA
This 337-nucleotide unclassified non-coding RNA is filed under the name soil metagenome. Its description in RNAcentral is "partial contains 5.8S ribosomal RNA, internal transcribed spacer 2, and large subunit ribosomal RNA". The stretch from base 1 to 120 matches the Rfam family "5.8S ribosomal RNA", at positions 35 to 154 of the family's 154-position model. The record is from RNAcentral.